Long non-coding RNA from Saimiri boliviensis boliviensis (Bolivian squirrel monkey), 533 nucleotides. RefSeq lists it as uncharacterized. Lineage: Eukaryota; Metazoa; Chordata; Mammalia; Primates; Cebidae. The record is from RefSeq and is a predicted model, not a curated record.
UCCGCUCGCCUCGCCCCUCUUCCCCCAGGUGCUGACGGGCCCGGGUGCUCCUGCAGGGGCGGUCCUGGCUGGACACGGACUUCGGGUGUUUCUGAGCUGGUCCAAGGGGGCCGAGGGCGCCUCGCCGCUUCCGGCGGGACGCUGUCUGCGCUCAGGGAGAAACUGGAUGAACCAGGUGGUCCGAGGUCCCGGGCGGGUCCUCCGGCUCCCACAGCCGCGCGCAGCAGGUGCAGGUCCCGGCCGGCCACGUGGAGGAUGCAAACCCGCCGCUUCGGAGCGUCCCCCGCCACCGAAGGGCAGAGUGAGCCCUGAGGCCGAGCGGACUCCAGCUGAGAAACGGUCCCGGCGGGACACCAGGUGCACACACCCCACAGGACGCCGUUCGGGAGCGAAUUUAAACCUCAGAAUGUAACGUCAAGCCUUCUGCACAAAAACGCUUUCACAUGGAAAGCACUUUCCACUGGAAUGUGUCCAAACCAGCAUCUGGCACCUGGGGAAUGCACAUGAAAUAUAAAUAAAAUUUAGAGAAUUGU